This 542-nucleotide ribosomal RNA is filed under the name Klebsiella pneumoniae. Its description in RNAcentral is "partial 23S ribosomal RNA". It matches the Rfam family "Bacterial large subunit ribosomal RNA", at positions 2392 to 2925 of the family's 2925-position model. The record is from RNAcentral. Lineage: Bacteria; Pseudomonadati; Pseudomonadota; Gammaproteobacteria; Enterobacterales; Enterobacteriaceae.
CUGAAUUUCGAAGGAAUGCAUAUUUAUCAAGGCUUUGAUUAUGCUUUUUGAAGUACUGACGUAGAAUCUAGGAGGUACUCCGGGGAUAACAGGCUGAUACCGCCCAAGAGUUCAUAUCGACGGCGGUGUUUGGCACCUCGAUGUCGGCUCAUCACAUCCUGGGGCUGAAGUAGGUCCCAAGGGUAUGGCUGUUCGCCAUUUAAAGUGGUACGCGAGCUGGGUUUAGAACGUCGUGAGACAGUUCGGUCCCUAUCUGCCGUGGGCGCUGGAGAAUUGAGGGGGGCUGCUCCUAGUACGAGAGGACCGGAGUGGACGCAUCACUGGUGUUCGGGUUGUCAUGCCAAUGGCACUGCCCGGUAGCUAAAUGCGGAAGAGAUAAGUGCUGAAAGCAUCUAAGCACGAAACUUGCCCCGAGAUGAGUUCUCCCUGAGACUUUAAGUCUCCUGAAGGAACGUUGAAGACGACGACGUUGAUAGGCCGGGUGUGUAAGCGCAGCGAUGCGUUGAGCUAACCGGUACUAAUGAACCGUGAGGCUUAACCUU